AUUGAACGCUGGCGGCAUGCUCUACACAUGCAAGUCGAACGGUAACAGGCCGCAAGGUGCUGACGAGUGGCGAACGGGUGCGUAAUGCAUCGGAACGUGCCCAGUCGUGGGGGAUAACUACUCGAAAGAGUAGCUAAUACCGCAUACGAUCUAUGGAUGAAAGCGGGGGACCGUAAGGCCUCGCGCGAUUGGAGCGGCCGAUGUCAGAUUAGGUAGUUGGUGGGGUAAAGGCUCACCAAGCCAACGAUCUGUAGCUGGUCUGAGAGGACGACCAGCCACACUGGGACUGAGACACGGCCCAGACUCCUACGGGAGGCAGCAGUGGGGAAUUUUGGACAAUGGGCGCAAGCCUGAUCCAGCGAUGCCGCGUGCAGGAAGAAGGCCUUCGGGUUGUAAACUGCUUUUGUACGGAACGAAACGGCUCUGGUUAAUACCCGGGGCUAAUGACGGUACCGUAAGAAUAAGCACCGGCUAACUACGUG
This 482-nucleotide ribosomal RNA is filed under the name uncultured bacterium. RNAcentral's name for it is "partial 16S ribosomal RNA". It matches the Rfam family "Bacterial small subunit ribosomal RNA", at positions 30 to 507 of the family's 1533-position model. The record is from RNAcentral.